Non-coding RNA from Phalacrocorax carbo (great cormorant), 1062 nucleotides. The record is from RefSeq and is a predicted model, not a curated record. NCBI's taxonomy places the organism in Eukaryota, Metazoa, Chordata, Aves, Suliformes, Phalacrocoracidae.
CAUACGUACACCGCUCCGGCCACGACGAGCAAAGGCGCUCCAGGCUCCCGGCACGGCCCCACCUCCGAGGACCUAGACACUCCAAAUACACCUGGCUCCCCCAUACCUAGGUGCUGCACAAACACUUAAUGAAUUGGAACUGUACAUCCUCCAGUGACCAGGAAGGAAGGGAAAGGAGAGCAGAAUUGAGUGGCAAGAAGUCAUACAGCAGGACAGAGUUCCACAAACUAGCAACUCAGAACUGAGUGCUGGAAGAAGUGUUCCCAAUAAUCAAAGUGUUUUUUCUGUCCAUAUGAGCCCCGUCAGAAGAAAACAUCUGUAGAGCUGGAUUUGCCUCCAGCUGGUGCUUAGAUCCUGAAAGAAGACAGUGCUACAGGACUCAUUCAUUCAGUACAACUCAAAACCACAUGACUUCCUUGGAAAUUACUAUCUGAGGACUCUGCCAACCUGAAAGGAGAGGCAGCAGACUCAGCUGCUCAGGAGUUCCCCCAAACCUGUCUGUGGAGAGCACUUUCAGCCUGCUACCAUAGGACGCCCCCACCUUGGUCAUCUUGCGCAGCCGAUCCCGCUCCUCAAGCGGUGGCUGAGUCCAUCCUGCAACAGAAAUCCUGUGUUGCCUACCCACCUGAAAACACCUGAGCCUGCUCUACUGCAGAUUCAUCUCUCUCUGGGUCUUCCUUUUCUGCUGUGCUGGUGUUGGCUUUGAAAACCAAGAUAAACCAGGCAGGUUCCACUCUCCAUAGCUGGCUUUGAAGCUGCGGCCUUUCGUGCCUCCUCUGCUGAGGGAUGCAGCUAAGACACCUGAGCAGUGGCUUCUGAUGAGAAGGGAGGAAACCUGAGCAUUUGCAGUAGCUGUCGUGGUCAGGGGGAAAUAUUCAAUUAGGAAACCCCUAUGGAGCAAAGGUGGAACCCAGCAGGCAAGGAGUCAAAAUCUCUGCAAUCAGCACUGAUUUUUUUGACUGUUAUUUUGACAAAUGGGGUAAGAAUAAAAACCAUAAAAGGCUGCAGCAGGAGGCCUGAAACGGACUCUGAGCACUCUCCUUCUUCAGCAAUGAUGUGUUU